This 1372-nucleotide ribosomal RNA is filed under the name uncultured bacterium. Its description in RNAcentral is "bacterial SSU rRNA". It matches the Rfam family "Bacterial small subunit ribosomal RNA", at positions 28 to 1381 of the family's 1533-position model. The record is from RNAcentral.
GAUGAACGCUGGCGGCGUGCCUAAUACAUGCAAGUCGAGCGAACAGACGAGGAGCUUACUCCUCUGACGUUAGCGGCGGACGGGUGAGUAACACGUGGAUAACCUACCUAUAAGACUGGGAUAACUUCGGGAAACCGGAGCUAAUACCGGAUAACAUGUUGAACCGCAUGGUUCAACAGUGAAAGACGGUCUUGCUGUCACUUAUAGAUGGAUCCGCGUCGCAUUAGCUAGUUGGUAAGGUAACGGCUUACCAAGGCAACGAUGCGUAGCCGACCUGAGAGGGUGAUCGGCCACACUGGAACUGAGACACGGUCCAGACUCCUACGGGAGGCAGCAGUAGGGAAUCUUCCGCAAUGGGCGAAAGCCUGACGGAGCAACGCCGCGUGAGUGAAGAAGGUCUUCGGAUCGUAAAACUCUGUUAUUAGGGAAGAACAAAUGUGUAAGUAACUAUGCACGUCUUGACGGUACCUAAUCAGAAAGCCACGGCUAACUACGUGCCAGCAGCCGCGGUAAUACGUAGGUGGCAAGCGUUAUCCGGAAUUAUUGGGCGUAAAGCGCGCGUAGGCGGUUUUUUAAGUCUGAUGUGAAAGCCCACGGCUCCACCGUGGAGGGUCAUUGGAAACUGGAAAACUUGAGUGCAGAAGAGGAAAGUGGAAUUCCAUGUGUAGCGGUGAAAUGCGCAGAGAUAUGGAGGAACACCAGUGGCGAAGGCGACUUUCUGGUCUGUAACUGACGCUGAUGUGCGAAGGCGUGGGGAUCAAACAGGAUUAGAUACCCUGGUAGUCCACGCCGUAAACGAUGGGUGCUAAGUGUUAGGGGGUUUCCGCCCCUUAGUGCUGCAGCUAACGCAUUAAGCACUCCGCCUGGGGAGUACGACCGCAAGGUUGAAACUCAAAGGAAUUGACGGGGACCCGCACAAGCGGUGGAGCAUGUGGUUUAAUUCGAAGCAACGCGAAGAACCUUACCAAAUCUUGACAUCCUCUGACCCCUCUAGAGAUAGAGUUUUCCCCUUCGGGGGACAGAGUGACAGGUGGUGCAUGGUUGUCGUCAGCUCGUGUCGUGAGAUGUUGGGUUAAGUCCCGCAACGAGCGCAGCCCUUAAGCUUAGUUGCCAUCAUUAAGUUGGGCACUCUAAGUUGACUGCCGGUGACAAACCGGAGGAAGGUGGGGAUGACGUCAAAUCAUCAUGCCCCUUAUGAUUUGGGCUACACACGUGCUACAAUGGACAAUACAAAGGGUAGCGAAACCGCGAGGUCAAGCAAAUCCCAUAAAGUUGUUCUCAGUUCGGAUUGUAGUCUGCAACUCGACUACAUGAAGCUGGAAUCGCUAGUAAUCGUAGAUCAGCAUGCUACGGUGAAUACGUUCCCGGGUCU